Seriola aureovittata is the source of this 3780-nucleotide long non-coding RNA. RefSeq lists it as uncharacterized. The transcript has 2 exons. Lineage: Eukaryota; Metazoa; Chordata; Actinopteri; Carangiformes; Carangidae. The record is from RefSeq and is a predicted model, not a curated record.
UUCACAUAACAACAAUGUGUGUGACAGCAACUGUGAAAAACGUGGAGAGAUGAGAGACUGACAUGCAGAAGGUGCUGCACACACACUGUGUGCGUGUCCAGCCAAACCUGGAACGACAACAAAUCAGUGCUGGGGGCAUGACAGAACUGGACGGUGAACCGACGCUCUUUGAAGCUGCAGCCUGCAGCAGAACGGGAACAAGGCACUACCUUCGGAACAUCUCAAAUUCCUCGUCACACUAAAUAAUGAAUUAAUAUCAGUGAAUGAGACCGCUGAACACUUUACCUCACUCCCUCCCCUCCUCCCUGAAAUCUCUCUGCUAGAGGAGCCAAUCAGAGCCCCGCAUCCUUUCCACCACUCCCCUAGGCCCCUCCUCCUCCUCUCUGUGAUUAUAUAGUCUAUGGACAUCGGCAUCACAACACACACACGCACUCACCGUGCUGCUGCUGCAAGCAGCUCGGGAGACGAGGCUAUUUUAAAAAAAAAAAAAAAAACCCAUUCAUGGACACUGAAAAUACGAGGCACAUGCUGGCAAGUGUUGAGAGCAACAACGGCAGCACCCUUCCUGGCAUUGACAGCCCCAGAAGCAGCUUUAGAGAAACCCCCUAUAGCGUCAUAAGCACCAAUACCAAUCACUGGACGCACACUGAGAGGACUGCCGCCGCCAGCCUUUCUUGCAUCGUUAUCCAAGGAGAGCAGCUCCAGGAUGGGCUGCUCCUCGGGCCGCCAGCCCCCGGCCCCAGUCCUUCAUCCGGACCUGGACUGCGGCAACAACAGCGAGGCCAACACUUUACCCCAAGACUUUGAAAACCAGGGUUUGAAUGGGCUUGGAGAGGGAGGAGAAGAGGAGAGGAGAGUUGGAAGAGAACCAGCCAAACCUCCGGAGUCUCUCCCCACGCUGGAGCGACUCGCUCAGGCUACAGGCGGGACAGAGAAGUCCUGGUAUCGCUGCGUGUUUCCAUUCGGUGUGAUAUCACUAGUGAUUGGCAUGGCGGGCACCGGAGUGACAUUCAACUUUAACACACUGCUCCAGACCAAAGUGGUGUCGGUGGCGUUGCUGUGCACUGGCAUACUGAUGCUGCUCGUGGCAGCCGUUUGCUGGAGGGCCCACAGACUGAGGAGAAAGAAAAAGAAGGAAGGUGGAUUCUUCACCGCUGAUCAGGGCACUUUGUGAUGGUGGGUGGACUGACAGUCAGAUCCUUGUUAGCACUUCAAGUUGGACUUUUUGAAUGAGAAGGACAAACUGAACAAGUAGACUUAGGGACAUCAGUGCUUUUCUGCUCUGCACAAGGGCAGAGGGUAGAAGAGCUUGAUAAUACUGGAAACAUUAUUGAGCCAGGGAAACUUUAUGAUAUGAGUCAGUAUUCAGAAAAUGCCAGUUUAGCAAAAGCAUCAUCGCACAUCCCGAGCAGAUAGACAGGGUAAAGUAUGCGUCACACCAACAACUCCCCCUCUCCUCUCUUGUUCCAUCCUGUUAUGGAUUUACCUGGGGAUCCAGCGGAGCACAGAGCCCAGAGCACAUUAUAGAUCAUUGCUCCAAGAAUGGCCUCUUUGUGUCAAGGAAAUGUAUGAGAGAUAGGUACCUCAGGAAUAGUUAUUAAACACCUCCUGAUCCUAUAUCUGCGGCUCAACAGCGCUCAGUCACCCUAAAGAGGUGUGUGUGCGCCUGUCAGGAAGAUCUGGAUCAGCCUGUUUUAGAAGUGAUCAAAGCAACACUCAACAGUGUUUGUGCUUGCGCAUGCUAGUUUAAGUGUGCAGUUGGUUUAUAGAGGGACAAUAGUUCUGUUCUUCCAGGGGAUCUGUAAUUGAAAGAGAAGCGCACGACCACAAGUAUAAAACCUAGCCUGUCUGGAGGUAAAUGAAACAUGAUUUCCCCUCCUUACAAAACCACUGUUGAGGUGCCCUUUUGCACGUACGCCACUUAGUCUCCGACUGCUCCAGUGCGGCUGCUUAUUAGGCAAAAGUACAAGCAGCAGUGAGAGGUUGUAUCUGGAGAGGAAGUGGGGAAUCAGGCAAAAAGAGUUAACAUGCUGAAGAAUUUUUUUUUUUUUUUUUUUUCCCCAGGGUGACUAAUCCUGUACACAUGCAGCCACUAUUCCUCAUGUUUCUGUCUCCAGUCCAAUUGAGUGUUAUCAUGUACAAAGGUCAACCCUUUUCCUUCCCGAUAGUUUUCCUUCCUCUUCGUGUUGGGUAACCACAAUCCAGCUGUGCCAGAUCAAUAGAAAUCAGCACUCUGUGAAGUAUUAAGCUUUUGGAGGUAAUGGUCUGCAUUUGCAGGACCUGCAGAUGAAAUUGCUUUCUCCCAUCACUUCUAGAUGACUUGUGCAUUGUAUGACAGGAAAAUCCCAUUACAGACAUGCCUGAGUGAACACAGACCAACAAAGACAAAGUGAAUAAAGCCCCUCAUCCUUGCCCACCUGAUUCCUCUGAUCCUCGCCUCCUGCUGAAGUAAACAGAGGCGACACCAUUGGACAUUUAGGUCUGAGCAGUGGGGAAAAAUCAAUUCUUCCUUUCUUUGUACCCUGCAUUCUCCAGCUCUGCGAGGAAGGAUUUACACUAUUGUUCACACAGGCGACCAGAUGUGAGAAAUGGACAUUAAGUUAACUUCUCCCUGGGCGCAGUCUUAACCAGGUUUAACCUGUCAUUCCUCAUAGAUCAAGUUAGUUCUCUUCCCUCUUAGUUGAGGAGCCAAAAUGUAGCAUUAAGUUAGCCACAUUAGCUAUAGCAGUGUGUGGUGUUUAGCAGCAGGCGAUGUGAUUCUAAGGAAGACCCAGCAGCUUCUUGUCAGCUGUAGCGACGUUCUCGUGUCUGACUGAUGAUCGGUCUAAUUUUUUGUGUAUGGAGUUACUACAGUUUCCAUGUGGAGCAGCAGCUGUAGAAGUGUGUGUAUGAGUGUGUAUGUGUGGGUACGCACACACCAAAGCUACACUUAAUCUUUUUUUUUUUUUUCCCGUUUGGUUUGCCUCACAACACCUGAGAUGAUCUGAGGUAAUCCCUUUCAGUAUUGAUGUGUUCAUUUGUGUGCGCACAGAUUUAUUCUGAAAUACUGAGUAUUCUUCUAAGUGACAUAUCAAAAAUACUGUGUCCAACUAAGAGUGUAGCCACAUUUCUGAAUGUACCUCCAACAGUGAGUGUCUUACAAACAUCCUUCAGUGAACUGUAAAUUAUUUAUUAAUCUUCUGUUUUGUCUAGACAGCAAAUUUAGACAUAGCCUAACAUGUGCGUCAGUUUUACACAGUUGCCUACACUAUUGUUUCUCUGGUUGUAAUGAUUUCAAGUGUGUAGCAGUGAGUUUAAAUUGUAAUCGUUUCACAUUUUUGACCAGUAAAUUUCCGAAUGUACUUUUUUUUUUUUUAAUCCAAACUUGAUAAAUAUCCACGGUUUUGGAAUGAAACUGUUCAGUUGCUUUUAAGUGAUUGUUGUCAAUUUGCUUUGAGUCCAUUGGCAUGGCCCAGCUUUUCUCUGAGUGCCUUUUACUUGCAACAUCAGUAUUUCUUGGUAAAGGUGCGGUUCAUGUAAGCUGAGGAGGCCAGUAUUAGAGCGAACUAGAAAGGGGCAGAAAUAUUUCUGUUCACUGCUGUUGCGAGUGUUUGGUGUGCAUGAAGUUACCUUAAGUCACAGUUUGAGACAGUUCCUUAAGUAAAUACCCAGAAAUACCAAAUAUAUAUAUUUAUCAAGAAGCUUUUUUUGUCUCUCUUAAAUGUGUGUAAGAUUGUACUUUUUUUUUUUGUUGUUGUUUACAAUAAUCUGAAAAAGCGCUGGAUUAAAUGCAAAAAUAGA